CGCUCCAGCGCUGGAGCUCUUGCCGGCGUCUCCCGGCUAGUGCGGCUGAAGUGCCGGCGGCUAAGGGCCCGCAAGCAGCCGCCACUCCUCCGGCGCUGGCUGUGGCGCUGGGGUCGUUGUUUCGUGACAACCACUCAGGUAGCCGUUUCUGAGACAGCAGAUGCGGCCGCUUUAGCCCUAAGCGGGCACCGCGGCUGUCUGCACUGUCUCUGCCAGGGACUGACUCUUCUCUUCCGGACCGGACGCCAAGCGGUGACCCUGAGCCAACAGCAGGAGCGCCCGGAAAUGGCGGCCUGGACUGCCUCGCACUGGCCCAUCAAAGGGAUCCUGAAGAACAAGACCUCUACAGCUUCCUCUAUGGUGGCGUCGGCUGAACAGCCCAGCGGGAGUGUCGACGAGGAGCGGAGCAAAAAAUCCCAGAAGUGGAAAGAAAUGAACAUCCUGGCGACAUAUCAUCCAGCAGACAAAGACGAUGGUUUAAUGAAAAUAGAUGAACCAAGCACUCCUUACUGUCGUUAAGAUGGGGAUGGUGAAGAUGCAUGUGGUGAUACAGAAACCACUGAAGCCAUGGCAGCAGAUAUCUUAGCUAAGAAAUUAGCGGCUGCUGAAGGCUUGGAUCCAAAGUAUAGGGUUCAAGAACAAGAAAACAGUGAACAGGAGGCUAGUGACCUCUCAUCUGAGGAAGGAGAAAAAAGGCGACAAUUUGAAAUGAAAAGGAAGCUUCACUACAGCGAAUGACUUAAUAUCAAAUUAGCUAGAGAAUUAAUGUCAAAAGAUCUAUAUGAUGAUGGCAAAGAUGAAGAAAUGUUAAAGACUGCAGAUGGAGAAAGCAUGAAGACGGAAGAAUCAAAUCAAGGCUCUACUACAGGUGACCCACGGCAAAACAAAUUCACGAAGUUCAUAGAAGAGCUUUGUUCAACACUGCAACUGUUUGCUAGAUACAAAUCCUGUUACUAUAAUACAGUUCUUCUUGUUCUCCACAAUUUAUGA
This is an RNA transcript of Mandrillus leucophaeus (drill), 990 nucleotides long. It is a transcript of the gene named protein phosphatase inhibitor 2-like, with no coding region annotated. The transcript has a single exon. The record is from RefSeq and is a predicted model, not a curated record. Lineage: Eukaryota; Metazoa; Chordata; Mammalia; Primates; Cercopithecidae.